Molecule: long non-coding RNA, 292 nt
Filed under: Elaeis guineensis (African oil palm)
Lineage: Eukaryota; Viridiplantae; Streptophyta; Magnoliopsida; Arecales; Arecaceae
Description: long non-coding RNA (EGUI_LNC062766)
Source: RNAcentral
CAUGAAAAAAAAAGAAGAAAAGAUUCUUCUCUAGAUCUCUAGCGUAGAGAUCUCCAUCCUCCUAUUCUUCUUCUCCUCUAAGAGUGUCUUAAGAGAAAAGAAGAAUUAUCAUCAAUCAUCAAGAGGUGAUCUCUGUAAGAGAGCUAGCACCCCAGUGAGAUCAAAGGCUUCUGAUCAGAUCAAGACCUUGUGUGGAAACUCGUAGAUGUCAGACACUUGUGCAGCUUUAAAGAGAUCUAGAAGACAUGCAUCCAAGAUCAUCACUUUGUAGAUGAAGAUUGACUCAUGAUGA